GUCCACGCCCUAAACUAUGGAUACUAAGUGUCGGCGGGUUACCGCCGGUGCCGCAGCUAACGCAUUAAGUAUCCCGCCUGGGAAGUACGGCCGCAAGGUUGAAACUCAAAGGAAUUGACGGGGGCCCGCACAAGCGGUGGAGCAUGUGGUUUAAUUCGACGCAACGCGAAGAACCUUACCCAGGUUGGACAUGCACGUAGUAGAAAGGUGAAAGCCUAACGAGGUAGCAAUACCAGCGUGCUCAGGUGCUGCAUGGCUGUCGU
Molecule: ribosomal RNA, 263 nt
Filed under: uncultured bacterium
Lineage: Bacteria
Description: partial 16S ribosomal RNA
Rfam family: Bacterial small subunit ribosomal RNA
Source: RNAcentral